Orussus abietinus is the source of this 654-nucleotide long non-coding RNA. RefSeq lists it as uncharacterized. NCBI's taxonomy places the organism in Eukaryota, Metazoa, Arthropoda, Insecta, Hymenoptera, Orussidae. The record is from RefSeq and is a predicted model, not a curated record. The transcript is spliced from 4 exons.
UGCAGGUGAACGAGGUGCCUCGUUCUCCGAUCCUAGAACCUGGGGAGAAACCCUCCCCAGUAGGGCACCUCUCGAAUCCUGGGAGGGCACGGGGGCACAUCGAAAUUAAGUGCGUCUGUUUCCAAUGGCGAACCUGAUGAGAGUUCCUUAGCGGUGCGUCUCUUCGGGAGCCGUGCGGUACACGUGUAGGGGCAUCAGGUCGCAGGUUACGUUGGACCGGUGCACCGGGACGAAGUGCCUCGAUGGAGUUCUUCUUUUCUCCUCCUGGAGGAGGCACCCCGGGCUCUUUCAGCACGUCGCACCUCGAGAGGGACAUUAUGAAAUUGAAGCCAACGUUAGGGACAGAGUGACAGUACGCCGGACACCUGUGGGAGGAGAUGGACGGAUCGGCCGAUCGAGAGGUCGCCGAUGGACACCCGACGAGGAUCACCGGAAGUGCCGGGGAAGAAAUACUCUCAAGGCGCCGAGAGUCGCAGUUUUCUUCCCGACGCCGAUGUCGACGUCGACGUCUUCGAGCGCCGCGGAGAAAGAAAGAAAGAAAAAGAAAAAAGUUAAGUCUCUUCGGGGCGUUUCCCCCGCGUCGGGAAAAAUGCAAUGUCGGGUCGCGCGGAACGCCUGUUUACCCGGGAACCUGUACUUUUCUUUAAGCAUCUA